This 219-nucleotide ribosomal RNA is filed under the name Triticum aestivum (bread wheat). RNAcentral's name for it is "partial small subunit ribosomal RNA". The record is from RNAcentral. Lineage: Eukaryota; Viridiplantae; Streptophyta; Magnoliopsida; Poales; Poaceae.
AUGAAACUUAUCGGUUGGAACUGCCGGGGACUCGGGAACGGCCCGGAGCGCAACCUCCUCAAGUUGGGGAGGACGGAGGAGCCCGACGUGUUGUUUUUGGCGGAGACGAAAUUGACGGAGAAAGAGCUGGAGAAGUUUAGAUGGUCGUUAGGGUUGGCGAACAUGGUGGUUUGGAGUCCUGUAGGUUGAAGUAGAGGUGUUGCUCUUUUUUGGAGGAGG